This 320-nucleotide ribosomal RNA is filed under the name uncultured eukaryote. RNAcentral's name for it is "partial 18S ribosomal RNA". It matches the Rfam family "Eukaryotic small subunit ribosomal RNA", at positions 1470 to 1796 of the family's 1831-position model. The record is from RNAcentral.
CCCCUAGAUGUUCUGGGCCGCACGCGCGCUACACUGAACAGUUCAACAAGUCUUAACCUUGGCCGAUAGGUCUGGGUAAUCUUUGAACGCUGUUCGUGAUUGGGAUAGACCUUUGCAAUUAUGGGUCUUCAGCGAGGAAUUCCUAGUAAACGCAAGUCAUCAGCUUGCAUUGAUUACGUCCCUGCCCUUUGUACACACCGCCCGUCGCACCUACCGAUUGAAUGGUCCGGUGAAAUCUCGGGACGGCGGCUUGGUCGCUUGCGUCCGACUGCUGAAACUUGAUUAAACCAUNUNAUUUAANGGAAGGUGAANUCGUANCA